Molecule: ribosomal RNA, 465 nt
Filed under: Vreelandella stevensii
Lineage: Bacteria; Pseudomonadati; Pseudomonadota; Gammaproteobacteria; Oceanospirillales; Halomonadaceae
Description: partial 16S ribosomal RNA
Rfam family: Bacterial small subunit ribosomal RNA
Source: RNAcentral
CCUACGGGUGGCUGCAGUGGGGAAUAUUGGACAAUGGGCGAAAGCCUGAUCCAGCCAUGCCGCGUGUGUGAAGAAGGCCUUCGGGUUGUAAAGCACUUUCAGUGGGGAAGAAAGCCUUGGGGCUAAUACCCUCGAGGAAGGACAUCACCCACAGAAGAAGCACCGGCUAACUCCGUGCCAGCAGCCGCGGUAAUACGGAGGGUGCGAGCGUUAAUCGGAAUUACUGGGCGUAAAGCGCGCGUAGGCGGUCUGAUAAGCCGGUUGUGAAAGCCCCGGGCUCAACCUGGGAACGGCAUCCGGAACUGUCAGGCUAGAGUGCAGGAGAGGAAGGGAGAAUUCCCGGUGUAGCGGUGAAAUGCGUAGAGAUCGGGAGGAAUACCAGUGGCGAAGGCGGCCUUCUGGACUGACACUGACGCUGAGGUGCGAAAGCGUGGGUAGCAAACAGGAUUAGAUACCCCGGUAGUC